RNAcentral lists this ribosomal RNA (463 nucleotides) under uncultured bacterium. Its description in RNAcentral is "partial 16S ribosomal RNA". It matches the Rfam family "Bacterial small subunit ribosomal RNA", at positions 28 to 507 of the family's 1533-position model. The record is from RNAcentral.
GAUGAACGCUGACAGAAUGCUUAACACAUGCAAGUCUUUGGCGAAGCUGUGCUUGCACAGCCUAGCCAAGGCGGACGGGUGAGUAACGCGUAAGGAACUUGCCCUGCAGUCAGGGAUAACAGACGGAAACGACUGAUAAGACCUGGUAAAGUCAGGCGGACUCAUGUCCAGCCUGAUGAAAAGAGAUGCUGCAGGAGAGCCUUGCGUCCUAUUAGCUUGUUGGUGGGGUAACGGCCCACCAAGGCGAUGAUAGGUAGCCGGCCUGAGAGGGUGGACGGCCACAAGGGGACUGAGAUGCGGCCCUUGCUCCUACGGGAGGCAGCAGUGGAGAAUAUUGGACAAUGGGGGCAACCCUGAUCCAGCAAUUCUGUGUGCACGAUGAAGGUUUUCGGAUUGUAAAGUGCUUUCAGCAGGGAAGAAAAAAAUGACGGUACCUGCAGAAGAAGCGACGGCUAACUACGUG